UUUAACAUGAGAGUUUGAUCCUGGCUCAGGAUGAACGCUGGCGGCGUGCCUAACACAUGCAAGUCGAACGAAGUUUUGAUGGAUGCGGCUUCGGCCAAUGAAAUCACAACUUAGUGGCGGACGGGUGAGUAACGCGUGGGUAACCUGCCUUACACAGGGGGAUAACAGUUAGAAAUGACUGCUAAUACCGCAUAAGCGCACAGCUUCGCAUGAAGCAGUGUGAAAAACUGAGGUGGUGUAAGA
Molecule: ribosomal RNA, 243 nt
Filed under: Lachnospiraceae bacterium
Lineage: Bacteria; Bacillati; Bacillota; Clostridia; Lachnospirales; Lachnospiraceae
Description: partial 16S ribosomal RNA
Rfam family: Bacterial small subunit ribosomal RNA
Source: RNAcentral